UUAAGCGACUAAGCGUACACGGUGGAUGCCCUGGCAGUCAGAGGCGAUGAAGGACGUGCUAAUCUGCGAUAAGCGUCGGUGAGGUGAUAUGAACCGUUAUAACCGGCGAUUUCCGAAUGGGGAAACCCAGUGUGAUUCGUCACACUAUCAUUAACUGAAUCCAUAGGUUAAUGAGGCGAACCGGGGGAACUGAAACAUCUAAGUACCCCGAGGAAAAGAAAUCAACCGAGAUUCCCCCAGUAGCGGCGAGCGAACGGGGAGCAGCCCAGAGCCUGAAUCAGUGUGUGUGUUAGUGGAAGCGUCUGGAAAGGCGCGCGAUACAGGGUGACAGCCCCGUACACAAAAAUGCACAUGCUGUGAGCUCGAUGAGUAGGGCGGGACACGUGGUAUCCUGUCUGAAUAUGGGGGGACCAUCCUCCAAGGCUAAAUACUCCUGACUGACCGAUAGUGAACCAGUACCGUGAGGGAAAGGCGAAAAGAACCCCGGCGAGGGGAGUGAAAAAGAACCUGAAACCGUGUACGUACAAGCAGUGGGAGCCUCUUUAUGGGGUGACUGCGUACCUUUUGUAUAAUGGGUCAGCGACUUAUAUUCUGUAGCAAGGUUAACCGAAUAGGGGAGCCGAAGGGAAACCGAGUCUUAACUGGGCGUUAAGUUGCAGGGUAUAGACCCGAAACCCGGUGAUCUAGCCAUGGGCAGGUUGAAGGUUGGGUAACACUAACUGGAGGACCGAACCGACUAAUGUUGAAAAAUUAGCGGAUGACUUGUGGCUGGGGGUGAAAGGCCAAUCAAACCGGGAGAUAGCUGGUUCUCCCCGAAAGCUAUUUAGGUAGCGCCUCGUGAAUUCAUCUCCGGGGGUAGAGCACUGUUUCGGCAAGGGGGUCAUCCCGACUUACCAACCCGAUGCAAACUGCGAAUACCGGAGAAUGUUAUCACGGGAGACACACGGCGGGUGCUAACGUCCGUCGUGAAGAGGGAAACAACCCAGACCGCCAGCUAAGGUCCCAAAGUCAUGGUUAAGUGGGAAACGAUGUGGGAAGGCCCAGACAGCCAGGAUGUUGGCUUAGAAGCAGCCAUCAUUUAAAGAAAGCGUAAUAGCUCACUGGUCGAGUCGGCCUGCGCGGAAGAUGUAACGGGGCUAAACCAUGCACCGAAGCUGCGGCAGCGACACUAAGUGUUGUUGGGUAGGGGAGCGUUCUGUAAGCCUGUGAAGGUGUACUGUGAGGUAUGCUGGAGGUAUCAGAAGUGCGAAUGCUGACAUAAGUAACGAUAAAGCGGGUGAAAAGCCCGCUCGCCGGAAGACCAAGGGUUCCUGUCCAACGUUAAUCGGGGCAGGGUGAGUCGACCCCUAAGGCGAGGCCGAAAGGCGUAGUCGAUGGGAAACAGGUUAAUAUUCCUGUACUUGGUGUUACUGCGAAGGGGGGACGGAGAAGGCUAUGUUGGCCGGGCGACGGUUGUCCCGGUUUAAGCGUGUAGGCUGGUUUUCCAGGCAAAUCCGGAAAAUCAAGGCUGAGGCGUGAUGACGAGGCACUACGGUGCUGAAGCAACAAAUGCCCUGCUUCCAGGAAAAGCCUCUAAGCAUCAGGUAACAUCAAAUCGUACCCCAAACCGACACAGGUGGUCAGGUAGAGAAUACCAAGGCGCUUGAGAGAACUCGGGUGAAGGAACUAGGCAAAAUGGUGCCGUAACUUCGGGAGAAGGCACGCUGAUAUGUAGGUGAAGCGACUUGCUCGUGGAGCUGAAAUCAGUCGAAGAUACCAGCUGGCUGCAACUGUUUAUUAAAAACACAGCACUGUGCAAACACGAAAGUGGAUGUAUACGGUGUGACGCCUGCCCGGUGCCGGAAGGUUAAUUGAUGGGGUUAGCGGUAACGCGAAGCUCUUGAUCGAAGCCCCGGUAAACGGCGGCCGUAACUAUAACGGUCCUAAGGUAGCGAAAUUCCUUGUCGGGUAAGUUCCGACCUGCACGAAUGGCGUAAUGAUGGCCAGGCUGUCUCCACCCGAGACUCAGUGAAAUUGAACUCGCUGUGAAGAUGCAGUGUACCCGCGGCAAGACGGAAAGACCCCGUGAACCUUUACUAUAGCUUGACACUGAACAUUGAGCCUUGAUGUGUAGGAUAGGUGGGAGGCUUUGAAGUGUGGACGCCAGUCUGCAUGGAGCCGACCUUGAAAUACCACCCUUUAAUGUUUGAUGUUCUAACGUUGGCCCCUGAUCGGGGUUGCGGACAGUGUCUGGUGGGUAGUUUGACUGGGGCGGUCUCCUCCUAAAGAGUAACGGAGGAGCACGAAGGUUGGCUAAUCCUGGUCGGACAUCAGGAGGUUAGUGCAAUGGCAUAAGCCAGCUUGACUGCGAGCGUGACGGCGCGAGCAGGUGCGAAAGCAGGUCAUAGUGAUCCGGUGGUUCUGAAUGGAAGGGCCAUCGCUCAACGGAUAAAAGGUACUCCGGGGAUAACAGGCUGAUACCGCCCAAGAGUUCAUAUCGACGGCGGUGUUUGGCACCUCGAUGUCGGCUCAUCACAUCCUGGGGCUGAAGUAGGUCCCAAGGGUAUGGCUGUUCGCCAUUUAAAGUGGUACGCGAGCUGGGUUUAGAACGUCGUGAGACAGUUCGGUCCCUAUCUGCCGUGGGCGCUGGAGAACUGAGGGGGGCUGCUCCUAGUACGAGAGGACCGGAGUGGACGCAUCACUGGUGUUCGGGUUGUCAUGCCAAUGGCACUGCCCGGUAGCUAAAUGCGGAAGAGAUAAGUGCUGAAAGCAUCUAAGCACGAAACUUGCCCCGAGAUGAGUUCUCCCUGACUCCUUGAGAGUCCUGAAGGAACGUUGAAGACGACGACGUUGAUAGGCCGGGUGUGUAAGCGCAGCGAUGCGUUGAGCUAACCGGUACUAAUGAACCGUGAGGCUUAACCUU
Molecule: ribosomal RNA, 2902 nt
Filed under: Escherichia coli KTE75
Lineage: Bacteria; Pseudomonadati; Pseudomonadota; Gammaproteobacteria; Enterobacterales; Enterobacteriaceae
Description: bacterial LSU rRNA
Rfam family: Bacterial large subunit ribosomal RNA
Source: RNAcentral